CACGAAGGACACGAAGGAACACGAAGAAGAAAAAGAAGAAGAAAGAGUGGACACUCUUUCUUCUUCUUCUUUUUCUUCUUCGUGUUCCUUCGUGUCC
Molecule: unclassified non-coding RNA, 97 nt
Filed under: Candidatus Kentrum sp. FM
Lineage: Bacteria; Pseudomonadati; Pseudomonadota; Gammaproteobacteria
Description: Candidatus Kentron sp. FM microRNA mir-598
Source: RNAcentral